This 86-nucleotide non-coding RNA is filed under the name Sporolactobacillus laevolacticus. RNAcentral describes it as "c-di-GMP-II sequence". It matches the Rfam family "Cyclic di-GMP-II riboswitch aptamer". The record is from RNAcentral. Lineage: Bacteria; Bacillati; Bacillota; Bacilli; Caryophanales; Sporolactobacillaceae. RNAcentral also lists the same sequence under 1 other name.
AGGACAAAAGGACACUAUGAUUCUUGCUCAUUUAAUUGGGUGCCUGUGAGCAGGAAGAGUGAAUGGCACAACCGACCUUUUUACAG